This 497-nucleotide ribosomal RNA is filed under the name uncultured bacterium. Its description in RNAcentral is "partial 16S ribosomal RNA". It matches the Rfam family "Bacterial small subunit ribosomal RNA", at positions 28 to 507 of the family's 1533-position model. The record is from RNAcentral.
GAUGAACGCUGGCGGCGUGCCUAAUACAUGCAAGUCGAGCGAACAGACGAGGAGCUUGCUCCUCUGACGUUAGCGGCGGACGGGUGAGUAACACGUGGAUAACCUACCUAUAAGACUGGGAUAACUUCGGGAAACCGGAGCUAAUACCGGAUAAUAUAUUGAACCGCAUGGUUCAAUAGUGAAAGACGGUUUUGCUGUCACUUAUAGAUGGAUCCGCGCCGCAUUAGCUAGUUGGUAAGGUAACGGCUUACCAAGGCAACGAUGCGUAGCCGACCUGAGAGGGUGAUCGGCCACACUGGAACUGAGACACGGUCCAGACUCCUACGGGAGGCAGCAGUAGGGAAUCUUCCGCAAAGGGCGAAAGCCUGACGGAGCAACGCCGCGUGAGUGAUGAAGGUCUUCGGAUCGUAAAACUCUGUUAUUAGGGAAGAACAAAUGUAUAAGUAACUAUGCACGUCUUGACGGUACCUAAUCAGAAAGCCACGGCUAACUACGUG